CGUAUGCAACCUACCUUCAUCUGGGGGAUAGCCCGGAGAAAUCCGGAUUAAUACCGCAUAAAAUCACAGGAUGGCAUUAUCCAAUGAUCAAACAUUUAUGGGAUGGAGAUGGGCAUGCGUGUCAUUAGCUAGUUGGCGGGGUAACGGCCCACCAAGGCGACGAUGACUAGGGGAUCUGAGAGGAUGGCCCCCCACACUGGUACUGAGACACGGACCAGACUCCUACGGGAGGCAGCAGUAAGGAAUAUUGGUCAAUGGAGGCAACUCUGAACCAGCCAUGCCGCGUGCAGGAAGACUGCCCUAUGGGUUGUAAACUGCUUUUAUUCGGGAAUAAACCUUAUUACGUGUAAUAAGCUGAAUGUACCGAAGGAAUAAGGAUCGGCUAACUCCGUGCCAGCAGCCGCGGUAAUACGGAGGAUCCAAGCGUUAUCCGGAUUUAUUGGGUUUAAAGGGUGCGUAGGCGGCCUGUUAAGUCAGGGGUGAAAGACGGUAGCUCAACU
This 500-nucleotide ribosomal RNA is filed under the name uncultured Pedobacter sp. Its description in RNAcentral is "bacterial SSU rRNA". It matches the Rfam family "Bacterial small subunit ribosomal RNA", at positions 116 to 614 of the family's 1533-position model. Lineage: Bacteria; Pseudomonadati; Bacteroidota; Sphingobacteriia; Sphingobacteriales; Sphingobacteriaceae. The record is from RNAcentral.